UUUCAUUUUAAGUUUGGGGUAGCCCCAUAAGAAGCUGAAUAAGGUGAGUGCGAAAAAAAUAUAAGAAAAACGAUGAUCGAAAAAUAAAAAUAAAAAAGAAAGAUAGGAAAAGAGAGAAUCUGGUGGAACAAAGAAAAGCACUCACCAAAUGAAAAGACUUAGUUGGAUAUAAAAUCAAAAACAAAAAGAACUGAGUAACUGAGCUGAAAAAAAAAGGAAAUGUCAAUGGUAUUUUAGAAUAAACACAGUGAAAAGAAUAAUAACAUCGACUCUGAACCAAAAGAUCAUUUAUAUCCCUUCCAUAUCCCACCUUAACCCAAGUCCUG
This 326-nucleotide long non-coding RNA is filed under the name Lathyrus oleraceus (garden pea). RNAcentral describes it as "Pisum sativum (pea) long non-coding RNA (PSAT_LNC035844)". Lineage: Eukaryota; Viridiplantae; Streptophyta; Magnoliopsida; Fabales; Fabaceae. The record is from RNAcentral.